Molecule: ribosomal RNA, 468 nt
Filed under: uncultured bacterium
Lineage: Bacteria
Description: partial 16S ribosomal RNA
Rfam family: Bacterial small subunit ribosomal RNA
Source: RNAcentral
GACGAACGCUGGCGGCGUGCUUAACACAUGCAAGUCGAACGGAAAGGCCCUGCUUUUGUGGGGUGCUCGAGUGGCGAACGGGUGAGUAACACGUGAGUAACCUGCCCUUGACUUUGGGAUAACUUCAGGAAACUGGGGCUAAUACCGGAUAGGAGCUCCUGCUGCAUGGUGGGGGUUGGAAAGUUUCGGCGGUUGGGGAUGGACUCGCGGCUUAUCAGCUUGUUGGUGGGGUAGUGGCUUACCAAGGCUUUGACGGGUAGCCGGCCUGAGAGGGUGACCGGCCACAUUGGGGCUGAGAUACGGCCCAGAUUCCUACGGGAGGCAGCAGUGGGGAAUAUUGCACAAUGGGCGGAAGCCUGAUGCAGCAACGCCGCGUGCGGGAUGACGGCCUUCGGGUUGUAAACCGCUUUCGCCUGUGACGAAGCGUGAGUGACGGUAAUGGGUAAAGAAGCACCGGCUAACUACGUG